This is a long non-coding RNA of Tympanuchus pallidicinctus (lesser prairie-chicken), 434 nucleotides long. RefSeq lists it as uncharacterized. Lineage: Eukaryota; Metazoa; Chordata; Aves; Galliformes; Phasianidae. The transcript is spliced from 2 exons. The record is from RefSeq and is a predicted model, not a curated record.
GCCUCUGGGAGGAGGCGGAGGCGGCAGAGGGGGUGGGUGGCUGGGCGGGGAGCCGGGGCCACACUCGCUGUGGCGGGUAGGCCCCCGAGCCGCGCCCGGCGAAGGCAGACGGAGCGAAGGGCAGCGGGAGCGCUCCGCCGCCGCCUUGAGGGACCGCGCGGGGCCCGGCCGUUUCCCUGCUGGCGAAAGCCGAGACAAAAGGACUUUAAUUGCUUCAAGGCAGUUGGUGCUGAUUUUCUUAUCUGCUCUAGAGAAAAAAAAAGUGUUGUCAAAAACGAUUAGGACUUAAGAUUUGGAGUCACUAUGGAAAUUGUCAAAAAUUCCCAUGAAGAAGCCUCAUAAAGAAGCAGAUCUCUCUUCAGGAUAUGUGACAUGGCUGUACGGUGCAAGAAGAGCAAUAAUCCUAAAGGUAGUCAGGUUCAAAACUGUCUAGA